AAAAACAUUUCUUUUAGAUUAGAUUAAAAGUAGGGCCUGCCCACUGUUUAAAUAAAGGGCCGCGGUAUUUUGACCGUGCAAAGGUAGCAUAAUCAUUAGUCUUUUAAUUGAGGAAUGGAAUGAAUGGCUUUAUAAAAUUUAUCUUUUUAAAAUAAAUAACUAGAACUUUGAUUUAAAGUGAAAAUACUUUAUUGUUUUAAAAAGACGAUAAGACCCUAUAGAAUUUUAUUUUAAGGGUGAUUAUACUUUUAAAGUUUUAUUGGGGCAGUAGAAGAAUAACUUAAAUUUCUUUAAAAAUUAAUUUUAAUGAAAAUGUUUAACUUAAAAUUAGAAAUAUUAAAAAAAUUACCUUAGGGAUAACAGCGUUAUUAUUUUUGAGAGUUCAUAUCGACAAAUUAUUUUGCGACCUCGAUGUUGAAUUAAAAUACCUUAUGGGUGCAGAAUUUUAUUUAGGUAGUCUGUUCGACUAUAAAAUUUUUACAUGAUUUGAGUUCCAGACCGGA
RNAcentral lists this ribosomal RNA (503 nucleotides) under Pogonognathellus sp. T4 ADK-2018. RNAcentral's name for it is "partial 16S ribosomal RNA". It matches the Rfam family "Bacterial large subunit ribosomal RNA", at positions 1809 to 2620 of the family's 2925-position model. Lineage: Eukaryota; Metazoa; Arthropoda; Collembola; Entomobryomorpha; Tomoceridae. The record is from RNAcentral.